CGGUUCCGUCGGACGAUCGCGUCGCGGGGAUGUCGCCUGCGCCGAGGAAAGUCCGGGCUCCUUGGACACGCUGCCAGGUAACGCCUGGGCACGCCGCAGGGCGUGACGGAUAGUGCAACAGAGAGCAGACCGCCGAUGUCUUCGGGCAUCGGUAAGGGUGAAAGGGUGGGGUAAGAGCCCACCGCGAUCGUGGUAACACGGUCGGCAUGGCAAACCCCAGCGGGAGCAAGGCCGAAUAGGCGGCGAGCAGCAGUCCUCUGCGAUCAAGACGCCGCGGGUUGGCCGCUAGAGCAGUCGGGCGACCGGCUGCCGAGAGAAAUGAUCGUCCGGUGCUUUCGGGCACCGACAGAACCCGGCUUAUAGACGGAACCGACGG
RNAcentral lists this RNase P RNA (376 nucleotides) under Gemmatimonadota bacterium. RNAcentral describes it as "RNase P RNA component class A". It matches the Rfam family "Bacterial RNase P class A". Rfam says of the family: Ribonuclease P (RNase P) is a ubiquitous endoribonuclease, found in archaea, bacteria and eukarya as well as chloroplasts and mitochondria. Its best characterised activity is the generation of mature 5'-ends of tRNAs by cleaving the 5'-leader elements of precursor-tRNAs. Cellular RNase Ps are ribonucleoproteins. The record is from RNAcentral. Lineage: Bacteria; Pseudomonadati; Gemmatimonadota.